CCAGAAGGAAGCUGUUUGGCACAGCUCUACCUAACUGAAGAAUCAGCCAUGGUGAAGGGAAUUACUGGCUUUAUCUCAUCUUCUCCUUCCCAGCUCGAGAGCUAGCCUUGCAGCAGGAGGAAGGGAAGACUGUGAUGUACACAGCUGUGGGCUCUGAAUGGCGUCCCUUUGGCUAUCCACGCCGCCGGCGACCACUGAAUUCUGUAGUUCUACAACAGGGUCUGGCUGACCGAAUUGUCAGAGACGUCCAGGAAUUCAUCGAUAACCCCAAGUGGUACACUGACAGAGGCAUUCCUUACAGACGUGGCUACCUGCUUUAUGGGCCCCCUGGUUGCGGAAAGAGCAGUUUUAUCCCUGGCUGGGGAACUGGAGCACAGCAUCUGCCUGCUGAGCCUCACGGACUCCAGCCUCUCUGAUGACCGACUCAACCACCUGCUGAGCGUGGCCCCGCAGCAGAGCCUGGUGCUCCUGGAGGAUGUGGAUGCUGCUUUUCUCAGUCGAGACUUGGCUGUGGAGAACCCAGUAAAGUACCAAGGCCUAGGUCGCCUCACCUUCAGUGGACUGCUCAAUGCCUUGGAUGGUGUGGCUUCCACUGAGGCCCGCAUCGUGUUCAUGACCACCAACCACGUUGACAGGCUGGACCCCGCCCUGAUACGCCCGGGGCGAGUGGACCUGAAGGAGUACGUGGGCUACUGCUCACACUGGCAGCUGACCCAGAUGUUCCAAAGGUUCUAUCCAGGGCAGGCACCUUCCUUAGCUGAGGACUUUGCAGAACAUGUCCUUCGAGCUACAAACCAGAUCAGUCCUGCCCAGGUGCAGGGCUACUUCAUGCUGUAUAAAAAUGACCCUGUAGGGGCAAUUCACAAUGCUGAGUCUCUGAGGAGGUGAUCAGGCUGAGCUCAGCUCAGCUUUCCU
Molecule: small RNA, 915 nt
Filed under: Pongo abelii (Sumatran orangutan)
Lineage: Eukaryota; Metazoa; Chordata; Mammalia; Primates; Hominidae
Description: retained intron
Source: RNAcentral